AGUGAAUAUAGUUUAUUAAAAAAAUUUUAGUCUGUGAAUCUAAAGAUAGGGACUAACUACCCCUUAUUCACCA
Molecule: transfer RNA, 73 nt
Filed under: Litoria inermis (bumpy rocketfrog)
Lineage: Eukaryota; Metazoa; Chordata; Amphibia; Anura; Pelodryadidae
Description: tRNA-His
Rfam family: tRNA
About the family: Transfer RNA (tRNA) molecules are approximately 80 nucleotides in length. Their secondary structure includes four short double-helical elements and three loops (D, anti-codon, and T loops).
Source: RNAcentral